GACGUAGGGUGCGAGCGUUGUCCGGAUUUAUUGGGCGUAAAGAGCUCGUAGGCGGCUCGUCGCGUCGACCGUGAAAACCCGCAGCUUAACUGCGGGCUUGCGGUUGAUACGGGCGGGCUAGAGUUCGGUAGGGGAGACUGGAAUUCCUGGUGUAGCGGUGAAAUGCGCAGAUAUCAGGAGGAACACCGGUGGCGAAGGCGGGUCUCUGGGCCGAUACUGACGCUGAGGAGCGAAAGCUGGGGGAGCGAACGGG
RNAcentral lists this ribosomal RNA (253 nucleotides) under uncultured bacterium. Its description in RNAcentral is "partial 16S ribosomal RNA". It matches the Rfam family "Bacterial small subunit ribosomal RNA", at positions 524 to 776 of the family's 1533-position model. The record is from RNAcentral.